This 407-nucleotide ribosomal RNA is filed under the name bacterium gwi79. RNAcentral's name for it is "bacterial SSU rRNA". It matches the Rfam family "Bacterial small subunit ribosomal RNA", at positions 41 to 450 of the family's 1533-position model. The record is from RNAcentral.
GGCAGGCCUUACACAUGCAAGUCGAACGGUAACGCGGGGGCAACCCUGGCGACGAGUGGCGAACGGGUGAGUAAUAUAUCGGAACGUGCCCAAUAGUGGGGGAUAGCUCGGCGAAAGCCGGAUUAAUACCGCAUACGCCCUACGGGGGAAAGCGGGGGAUCGAAAGACCUCGCGCUAAUGGAGCGGCCGAUAUCUGAUUAGCUAGUUGGUGAGGUAAAAGCUCACCAAGGCUGCGAUCAGUAGCUGGUCUGAGAGGACGACCAGCCACACUGGGACUGAGACACGGCCCAGACUCCUACGGGAGGCAGCAGUGGGGAAUUUUGGACAAUGGGGGCAACCCUGAUCCAGCAAUGCCGCGUGAGUGAAGAAGGCCUUCGGGUUGUAAAGCUCUUUUGUCCGGGAAGAAA